This 114-nucleotide ribosomal RNA is filed under the name Acacia victoriae. Its description in RNAcentral is "partial large subunit ribosomal RNA". It matches the Rfam family "Eukaryotic large subunit ribosomal RNA", at positions 1 to 112 of the family's 3401-position model. The record is from RNAcentral. Lineage: Eukaryota; Viridiplantae; Streptophyta; Magnoliopsida; Fabales; Fabaceae.
CGCGACCCCAGGUCAGGCGGGGCUACCCGCUGAGUUUAAGCAUAUCAAUAUAUAGCGAGAAACGAACUAACGAGGAUUCCCCUAGAAACAGCGAGAGAACGGGAAAAUUUUAAA